CACCCAGGAGACCCCUAAAACACCACUGGUCACACUCAGACACCAAAAAAGAUGAGCCUGUGAUUGCUGACACCCAGGGCACCUUCACCGCCUGCCUACCCCAGAGCAGGGAUAAAAAGGCAAGCCUCACAACCGCUCUUCAUCCCCUGGGGGACCACAGCUCAGUGCAAAUGAAACUCUGCCCACAUCUCCACGACUGAAGCUCUGCUCGCCACCCUGCCGGAGCCACCUCGCCUGGAUGUCCCAGCUGCCGCCAGAGCUGACAUCGGAGCAGGACUGGACCUCUCAUCAGGUGACCUCUCCAGCCCUUCACCUUGCCAUCCGUCUCGGAACUUCGAGCCUACUGCCCGACACGCCAGUCAUCCCACGACUCCUGCCUGGCCCGUAAGGAUUCCGUCUCAGCCUGGAGGCUCUGGACUUGGCACGACGUGUUGUGCAGCUCCACCCUGAGGGCAGCAGCCAUCUUCGCCUCCUGGGUUGGGGCCACGCAGGCCACCUCAGCCUGUUGCUGUGGGGAAUCAGGUUCCUCACAAAAAAUGCAUAUAGAAAUCCAGUUGUUUUGAACACAUAAUGCCUUCAAGUGGAAUAAAAUUCAAAAGAGCUCCUAAG
Oryctolagus cuniculus (rabbit) is the source of this 609-nucleotide non-coding RNA. Lineage: Eukaryota; Metazoa; Chordata; Mammalia; Lagomorpha; Leporidae. The record is from RefSeq and is a predicted model, not a curated record.